GAACGCUGGCGGCGUGCUUAACACAUGCAAGUCGAACGGAAAGGCCCUGCUUUUGUGGGGCGCUCGAGUGGCGAACGGGUGAGUAACACGUGAGUAACCUGCCCUUGACUUUGGGAUAACUUCAGGAAACUGGGGCUAAUACCGGAUAGGAGCUCCUGCUGCAUGGUGGGGGUUGGAAAGUUUCGGCGGUUGGGGAUGGACUCGCGGCUUAUCAGCUUGUUGGUGGGGUAGUGGCUUACCAAGGCUUUGACGGGUAGCCGGCCUGAGAGGGUGACCGGCCACAUUGGGACUGAGAUACGGCCCAGACUCCUACGGGAGGCAGCAGUGGGGAAUAUUGCACAAUGGGCGGAAGCCUGAUGCAGCAACGCCGCGUGCGGGAUGACGGCCUUCGGGUUGUAAACCGCUUUCGCCUGUGACGAAGCGUGAGUGACGGUAAUGGGUAAAGAAGCACCGGCUAACUACGUGCCAGCAGCCGCGGUGAUACGUAGGGUGCGAGCGUUGUCCGGAUUUAUUGGGCGUAAAGGGCUCGUAGGUGGUUGAUCGCGUCGGAAGUGUAAUCUUGGGGCUUAACCCUGAGCGUGCUUUCGAUACGGGUUGACUUGAGGAAGGUAGGGGAGAAUGGAAUUCCUGGUGGAGCGGUGGAAUGCGCAGAUAUCAGGAGGAACACCAGUGGCGAAGGCGGUUCUCUGGGCCUUUCCUGACGCUGAGGAGCGAAAGCGUGGGGAGCGAACAGGCUUAGAUACCCUGGUAGUCCACGCUGUAAACGGUGGGUACUAGGUGUGGGGUCCAUUCCACGGGUUCCGUGCCGUAGCUAACGCUUUAAGUACCCCGCCUGGGGAGUACGGCCGCAAGGCUAAAACUCAAAGGAAUUGACGGGGCCCCGCACAAGCGGCGGAGCAUGCGGAUUAAUUCGAUGCAACGCGUAGAACCUUACCUGGGUUUGACAUGGAUCGGGAGCGCUCAGAGAUGGGUGUGCCUCUUUUGGGGUCGGUUCACAGGUGGUGCAUGGCUGUCGUCAGCUCGUGUCGUGAGAUGUUGGGUUAAGUCCCGCAACGAGCGCAACCCUUGUUCACUGUUGCCAGCACGUUAUGGUGGGGACUCAGUGGAGACCGCCGGGGUCAACUCGGAGGAAGGUGGGGAUGACGUCAAGUCAUCAUGCCCCUUAUGUCCAGGGCUUCACGCAUGCUACAAUGGCUGGUACAGAGAGUGGCGAGCCUGUGAGGGUGAGCGAAUCUCGGAAAGCCGGUCUCAGUUCGGAUUGGGGUCUGCAACUCGACCUCAUGAAGUCGGAGUCGCUAGUAAUCGCAGAUCAGCAACGCUGCGGUGAAUACGUUCCCGGGGCUUGUACACACCGCCCGUCAAGUCAUGAAAGUUGGUAACACCCGAAGCCGGUGGCCUAACCGUUGUGGGGGAGCCGUCGAAGGUGGGACUGGUGAUUAGG
RNAcentral lists this ribosomal RNA (1441 nucleotides) under uncultured organism. RNAcentral's name for it is "SSU rRNA". It matches the Rfam family "Bacterial small subunit ribosomal RNA". The record is from RNAcentral.